UGUGUUAUUAAAUAUGUCAUUAAUUUAUUAAAAUAACAAUUAUUUUAAGUAAAAAACAUAUUUCAUUAUUUCACGAUUUAAUUAAUUAUUUCAUGGUCCUUGUGUUGCAGUGGAUCAUGAAUUAAUUUUAUCUGUCAACCUCGCCCGUCAAAGUCCGUGGGCGGGACUAACGUGAAUCUAGUCUAAUCCACUGCUUUUGUCUGCCUUGAAACCGGAAGUAGAAGUCUUUCUAAACAUGGUGGCUGUGUAGAGGGAGAGUCGCUGUGAACUUUCUAGAGAGUUGGUGAGAGAUAUUUUAGACCUUGCAGAGUAUGUGGAAGCAGGACCUGCUUACCGCGAGCAUGUAGCGUGUAAAGCAGAGGAAUUUAUUGACGUUGUUGAAGUUAUUUCCGCACUUUCCGACCAAGAUGUUGACCGUAGAGUGACUGCAAAUUUAGAGGAAGUACUCCGCCGGUUUUCUGGUACCAGGGUGCAACAGGAGCACACACAGGGACCAGGGCGUUUGGCAUACCGAGGGAAGUUCUGGAACAUCACGUUCUUUGUGGAUUACCAGCCUGUCAAAUUGCAGCGAUGCUCGGAGUGUCGAGCGCUUUUCCUUUAGGACCUACUCGGCGCGGCACGGCUCCGCUCGUCUUUGUUUAGCCGCGAUUCCACAAGCAUCUACUCGGCACGGUACGGCUCGUCUCAUCUUUGUUUGCGAGCGUUUCCAUACGGACUAAUUUUCAGCACCUUCUCGGCUGAGGUUCCCAGCGAGCUGAGAUGAGCCGAUAAUGUGGCGUUUACAUAGUGCAGGCCACUGAUUGGACAGGGAGUGACGACACAGAGCAACUUCAGCACGAAAACAAAAUCCUGCAUUAAAAAAUGACUGUAAACAGCGACGGUGUGCAUUGCUCUUCACGAAACUCUGUUCUUCAUAAUUUUAAUGUGACAGCCAGACUUGUACCGUGGGUGAAUGAAGAGGUCGAGACUUUGUCUUUGGUGGCGGACCAAAGAAUACAGAGAGAGCUGGACGGAGAAAGUUUAUCAGGAGGUCUCUGAGCGGAUGGCCGCUCACAUAUACAGUAGACUGUAUAUAAAGAGGACAGAAGCAGUGUAGGGAGAAGCUGAAAAAGCUCAAAAGUGACUAUCGGUCCACCCAGGACCACAACGGCCGGCGUGGGUCAACCAGGAGGUGUUGGAAGAGGUUUAAUGGAAGCUAUUUACUGGCACCGCACCGGCGAGCAACAGGAGGGAGACUCAGCCGCUGCAUUGUUGGAGACGUUCGAGGACGAAUCCCUUUCCACAUGCGAAGCCUACUCCACCUCCGUCGCGGAGCCCCCGGCUGCCCUGUCUCCUCUCCAGCACUAGCUCGGACACCGACACCAGCACGUCACAGCAACGUCUUAUCACCGGCAAGAGGAAAGGGGGCCACAGAAAAUUGGACCUUCCUAGCGUACUUGUGGAGAUGCAGGCUGAGGAGGAGUGGAGUCAUGCCCAGCAUGAUGAGAACAUCUGGUUGCUCCUCAGCGAGGCAAGAGAGAAUGAAGCGGCCUUGCAGCGGGAGGAGAUGGCCCAGAAUACUGCCUUCAACCAGUCAUUCCUGGGUGUGCUGGGGCAGCUGGGGUAGCUGGGUAGGCAGUGGGCAGCCGGCGAGUGUGAGCGAGUCCACCUCCCAUAGACUUGAGAUUUACAAGUGCUGGUCAUAUAAUUAGAAUAUCACGAAAAAGCUUGUCUUUUGGACAACUGUCAGGUCAGUAGUCUUCCCCAUGAUUGUGUAGCCUACAGAACUAGGCUGAGAGACCAUUUAAAGGCCUUUGCAGGUGUUUUGAGUUAAUUAGCUGAUUAGAGGUGUCUUCAAUAUUGAACCUUUCUACAAUAUUCUAAUUUUCAGAGAUACCAAAUUUGAGAUUUUUGUUAGUAUUCAGGUAUAAUCAUCAAAGUUAAGAGAAAUAAACAUUUGAAAUAUAUCAGUCUCUGUGUAAUGAAUGAGUAUAAUAUACAAGUUUCACUUUUUGAAUGGAAUUACUGAAAUAAUGAACAACUUUUUUCAUGAUAUUCUAAUUAUAUGACCAGCACCUGUAGUUGUAUAUAGUUUUACUUUUAG
Long non-coding RNA from Amphiprion ocellaris (clown anemonefish), 2083 nucleotides. RefSeq lists it as uncharacterized. The transcript is spliced from 3 exons. The record is from RefSeq and is a predicted model, not a curated record. Lineage: Eukaryota; Metazoa; Chordata; Actinopteri; Pomacentridae.